UACGUAGGGUCCGAGCGUUGUCCGGAAUUAUUGGGCGUAAAGGGCUCGUAGGCGGUUUGUCACGUCGGGAGUGAAACUCAGGCUUAACCCUGAGCGUGCUUCCGAUACGGGCUGACUAGAGGGAUGCAGGGGAGAACGGAAUUCCCGGUGUAGCGGUGAAAUGCGCAGAUAUCGGAAGAACACCCGUGGCGAAGGCGGCUCUCUGGACGGUACUGACGCUGAGACGCGAAAGCGUGGGAGCGAACGAGG
This 249-nucleotide ribosomal RNA is filed under the name uncultured bacterium. RNAcentral's name for it is "partial 16S ribosomal RNA". It matches the Rfam family "Bacterial small subunit ribosomal RNA", at positions 524 to 777 of the family's 1533-position model. The record is from RNAcentral.